This 253-nucleotide ribosomal RNA is filed under the name uncultured bacterium. Its description in RNAcentral is "partial 16S ribosomal RNA". It matches the Rfam family "Bacterial small subunit ribosomal RNA", at positions 524 to 776 of the family's 1533-position model. The record is from RNAcentral.
UACGUAGGGUGCAAGCGUUGUCCGGAAUUAUUGGGCGUAAAGAGCGCGUAGGCGGCCCUGUAAGUCCGCUGUGAAAGUCAAGGGCUCAACCCUUGGAUGCCGGUGGAUACUGCAGGGCUAGAGUCCGGAAGAGGCGAGUGGAAUUCCUGGUGUAGCGGUGAAAUGCGCAGAUAUCAGGAGGAACACCGAUGGCGAAGGCAGCUCGCUGGGACGGUACUGACGCUGAGACGCGAAAGCGUGGGGAGCGAACAGG